CAGUAGCCGCGGUAAUACGAGGGGGGCAAGCGUUGUUCGGAAUUAUUGGGCGUAAAGGGUGCGUAGGCGGUUUGGCAAGUUUGGUGUGAAAUCUUCGGGCUCAACUCGAAGUCUGCAUCGAAAACUGCCGGGCUUGAGUAUGGGAGAGGUGAGUGGAAUUUCCGGUGUAGCAGUGAAAUUCGUAGAUAUUCGGAAGAACACCAGUGGCGAAGGCGACUGACUGGACAAGUAUUGACGCUGAGGUGCGAAAGCGUGGGGAGCAAACAGGAUUAGAUACCCCAGUAGUCCCUGUCUCUUAUAC
This 301-nucleotide ribosomal RNA is filed under the name uncultured bacterium. Its description in RNAcentral is "partial 16S ribosomal RNA". It matches the Rfam family "Bacterial small subunit ribosomal RNA", at positions 509 to 807 of the family's 1533-position model. The record is from RNAcentral.